RNAcentral lists this ribosomal RNA (445 nucleotides) under uncultured soil bacterium. Its description in RNAcentral is "bacterial SSU rRNA". It matches the Rfam family "Bacterial small subunit ribosomal RNA", at positions 26 to 484 of the family's 1533-position model. The record is from RNAcentral.
AGAUUGAACGCUGGCGGCAUGCUUUACACAUGCAAGUCGAACGGGGUGGUGGGGCGAACCUGCCAUUCAGUGGCGAACGGGUGAGUAAUGCAUCGGAACGUGUCCCGUAGUGGGGGAUAACCCGGCGAAAGCCGGACUAAUACCGCAUAUGCUCUACGGAGGAAAGUGGGGGACCGCAAGGCCUCACGCUAUGGGAGCGGCCGAUGUCCGAUUAGCUUGUUGGUGGGUAAUGGCCUACCAAGGCGACGAUCGGUAGCUGGUCUGAGAGGAUGAUCAGCCACACUGGGACUGGAGCACGGCCCAGACUCCGUACGGGAGGCAGCAGUGGGAAUUUGGACAAGUGGGGCAACCUGAUCCAGCCAUGCGCGUGCGGAAGAGGCUUCGGGUUGAACGUCUUUAGCGGUAAGAAAGCACGAGAACUACCGUUAGUUCUUGACGUACCGGA